UGAGUCUGGAGAUGGAGCUUCUAAAGAUUUCUUUCUAAGCACCAUACAACACUUGCUGUAGACAGACACUGGUGGAAGAGUUGUUACAAACUGCUCUAGAUGGACGACGUUUUCUUUCUUACAUGAAGCUAAAAUGGAUUUAUUUUCUAUUAAAUGUCUCCCAGUGAUCCCUCUGGAACAGAAUUUGGGUAGCAGAGCAGAUCCAAGCUUAGGCUGAGGAGUGUUGUACAGCUGCCACCAAUUACUUUGACCAGUCUCAUCUGCGACCUUCACCCUUGCUCCUCCCACCCACUGGCCUGGGAACUGCAUUUAAGCCCUUGCCCUGCCCCUUACUUGGCUUAUGCUGUGUGUGCUUGUUCUGACCUGCUUGGCUUUACUUCUUUGGUGACAUCAGAGCUGUGUUGGAACUAUAGGUUUCUCUGUUGGAUGAGAAAAGAUCCCAUCGUGGAACUCACUCUCCCCUUCCUGUUUAGGUGCAGUGGGACUGUGCCCCUUUUCCAAGGUUCCUGUCUCAACCUGCCCUGUUAUCUGGCUUCCACCUCACCUUCCUUCCUGGCAAUGUCCAUCCUUACUUGCUUCCUGACAAGGAUUUUCCCGAGCCCUUGAAACUGCUCCAUUACCUGUAAGAGGCCAAAAUAAAACUACCUUCCAGCAUCUGCAAGGACUCUCCUGGCAGUCUCUGAGAACCAAGGAAAAACAGGAGACCAGCUGGUAGCAUUUUCUCUAAGCAAGGCAACAUCCCUGAGGUACACUCAGGUGAGAGUACUUCAGGGAAUUCCCACUGGGAGUAUCUUUUAUGAAGCUGGUGAAGAAGUUCCUCGCAGUUCAGGGGCCCACAUGAGCAGGAUGUUGGCAGAUGAUGUAGGAUAGGAACACCAUAGGGGACAGAAGACGCUCCUACUGCUUCCAAGCACUGCACUGCCCUGUGAGCUGACUCAGUUAGGUGGAGCACCAGGUCUUCAGCCAGGCCCAGAAAACCACCAGCAGCUGAAAGCAGCAGGUUGUGUGGAGCUGCAGCAGGUUGUGUGGUGCAGAUAGCAGGUGGUUCCUGGCUGCGGCCGGUCAUGCACUUGCACCAGUGCACUGGCACACCCAGCCUGGCUCCACUGAGCCAGGGGUGUCACUGAGCCUGUGGAGCAAAUUCCUGCUAAUGAGACUGCAGAUCAUCUUGUAGUCAUCCCUGUUACAAGCAGCAAGACACUGUCUCAGCCUCCUGAUGUCAACCUCUGCUAGGGUUUUGUAUUAAGAGAACACAGGCCCAAUUUCUCAUCCCCAUUAUAACUUCAGUGACGUAAGAGUAGAGGAAAAAAGACAUUAAAUACUCUGCAUCAAGGCAUGCUGGGUCUUUUUCCAAAUAAAAUGGAGGAGAAUCCCUCAGUAGGGUGUAGUCCCACACAAGAAGUUUUACUAUCAGGUUCCCUCACUGGGAGGAAGGCUAUGAGGAUAAGCAUCUUCCUGCUGCUCCACACACCCACAACUAUCUUGUGGCCAUCAGUCAUGCUCAGCAGGGAUGUGGGCAUGGGGAAAGAAGGCUGGUCGCUGCCAAAGGCUUCCUGGGCAGCUGUGUGCUUGGAGGAGCACUGCUGGAAGACACCUCUGACUGCAGCUCUCCUCUCCCUGCAAGACAGUUGUGGUCCCUGAGGACCAUCCUUGUGUGCUGGGCCUAGGAGUAGGCUCACUUGCACCAAAUGACCACUCAUGUGUCCUCACAGUCAGUACAUCAAACAGAAAGGCAGCUGGGAGACCCAGACUAUUGCAGUACCACAGGCUAGUGUUUACCCUCAUUUGCAUGGAUGUAAACAACCUGCUUGGAAGCAAGCAAGGAUACCUGAUUUUGGCUACUGCCAGCGUGAGGGGGACGCUGCAUGGGGGGUACAGAGCUACCAGGAGAAGCUACAGCGAAAUCAACCCACUCUUC
Molecule: long non-coding RNA, 1918 nt
Organism: Vidua macroura (Pin-tailed whydah)
Lineage: Eukaryota; Metazoa; Chordata; Aves; Passeriformes; Viduidae
Exons: 6
Source: RefSeq, a predicted model, not a curated record